CUUACCAGGUCUUGACAUCCUCUGAUAAUCCUAGAGAUAGGACGUACCCUUCGGGGGCAGAGUGACAGGUGGUGCAUGGUUGUCGUCAGCUCGUGUCGUGAGAUGUUGGGUUAAGUCCCGCAACGAGCGCAACCCUUGAUCUUAGUUGCCAGCAUUCAGUUGGGCACUCUAAGGUGACUGCCGGUGACAAACCGGAGGAAGGUGGGGAUGACGUCAAAUCAUCAUGCCCCUUAUGACCUGACAAUGGACAGAACAAAGGGCAGCGAAACCGCGAGGUUAAGCCAAUCCCACAAAUCUGUUCUCAGUUCGGAUCGCAGUCU
RNAcentral lists this ribosomal RNA (320 nucleotides) under uncultured bacterium. RNAcentral describes it as "bacterial SSU rRNA". It matches the Rfam family "Bacterial small subunit ribosomal RNA", at positions 970 to 1306 of the family's 1533-position model. The record is from RNAcentral.